GCCGGGGCAACGGAGGUCGGGCUCGAGUCGACGAUCGUCGCCUGCCUCGGCGAUACACCGCGGCUGCUGCGUCUAGGGGGCCUAACCCGCGACGAUAUCGAACGGGUGGUCGGCCCCCUCGCGGCCCCUGAACACGAGGCCGGAGCGGCUCCGCGCGCGCCAGGAAUGCUCGCCUCCCACUAUGCGCCCCAUGCUGCGGU
RNAcentral lists this unclassified non-coding RNA (200 nucleotides) under plant metagenome. RNAcentral's name for it is "partial contains 5.8S ribosomal RNA, internal transcribed spacer 2, and large subunit ribosomal RNA". The record is from RNAcentral.